Long non-coding RNA from Lagenorhynchus albirostris (white-beaked dolphin), 473 nucleotides. RefSeq lists it as uncharacterized. The record is from RefSeq and is a predicted model, not a curated record. Lineage: Eukaryota; Metazoa; Chordata; Mammalia; Artiodactyla; Delphinidae. The transcript is spliced from 3 exons.
CGAACUCCCUGCACGGCCUCUCUUGCGUCCAUCCGCCCUAGCUGAGUUGCCCGGGAGCCGGAGGGGAGGGCGGCGCGACGCGGACCCAGUCCACGGCCGCUCGGCCGCUGCGCUAAGACGGACCGCGCCCGCUGAGGCCCCGGCUGCCCGUGGGGCCUCGGGCCAGAUGCAGAGGAGGCCAGAAGGAUGACAGUAGCAACAAGACAGAAGAUGCCUAGGCCCACGGAUCAACCACAUGGAGAAUAGCUGUCUGCUGUUCAGCAACACUUGCACUGGACUAUUACAUGGGUGUUAAGGCCAAAAUACCAAGUUUGAGACCAAGAUUUUUCCAUCCCAAACUGAAAACAAAACAAAACCAAUAAAAGCCUAAGUUGCAUUCCAUUUCGAUACUUCCACUUACUCCAACUCCCAGAAGACUGAAUCUUCGCAGUGAAUCACUGUUCUGGAUCCUGAUUUUGCUUCACUUCACUAAC